CAGGGCUUUGCAAACGCUGUCGGACUAGCACUUGCUCAGAAACACCUAGCUGCUCGUUUCAACAAGCCUGAUUUAACUGUCGUCGACCACUACACGUAUGUUAUACUUGGGGAUGGCUGUCAAAUGGAAGGUGUUGCGAAUGAGGCUGCUUCCCUUGCUGGCCACUGGUGUCUCCGAAAGCUGAUUGCCUUCUAUGAUGAUAAUCAUAUAUCAAUCGAUGGAAGUACGGGUAUUGCUUUCACUGAAGAUGUGCUUGCCCGAUAUGAGGCCAUAGGAUGGCAUACUAUCUGGAAUGGCCACACUGGCUAUGAUGUCAUCCGUGCAGCAAUAAAAGAAGCAAAGGAAGUCAAAGAUAAGCCAACUCUUAUCAAGACAACUACUACAAUUGGUUAUGGAUCUCCAAACAAGGCAAGCACACGCAGUAUCCAUGGGAGCGCUUUAGGUUCCAAAGAAGUAGGCAACCAGAAAAAAUGUUUCCUGGGCUCAUGA
RNAcentral lists this ribosomal RNA (489 nucleotides) under Triticum aestivum (bread wheat). RNAcentral's name for it is "partial small subunit ribosomal RNA". Lineage: Eukaryota; Viridiplantae; Streptophyta; Magnoliopsida; Poales; Poaceae. The record is from RNAcentral.